UCCCUGAGACCCUUUGAUUGUC
This 22-nucleotide microRNA is filed under the name Schistosoma japonicum. RNAcentral describes it as "sja-miR-125a". Its record names the gene sja-miR-125a. The record is from miRBase by way of RNAcentral. Lineage: Eukaryota; Metazoa; Platyhelminthes; Trematoda; Strigeidida; Schistosomatidae.